RNAcentral lists this unclassified non-coding RNA (648 nucleotides) under Hevea brasiliensis (rubber tree). The record is from RNAcentral. Lineage: Eukaryota; Viridiplantae; Streptophyta; Magnoliopsida; Malpighiales; Euphorbiaceae.
AGAGAGAGAGAGGGAGAGAGAGUGAUCCUUCAAUACUAAGUUGACAAGAGAUUCUAUUAAGUGAGAAAAAAAUGAAUAAUAAAAAUAAGUAAUAUGAUAAAAAAGGGGGAAAAAAAGAUGAUAUGGUUUGGCAACUGCAAAAAAAGAAAAGAAAAGAAAGCGAAGGAACAAUAACAGCAAAGAAAGCAAAACAGUAGUGAGUGACAGACUAUCACAGGAUCAAUCCAACAUGAAUGAUUAGGAUUCCCAUUUAAAUCCUUAUUAUUUUUUUUAAAAUAAAAAAUUGUUUAUUAAUAAUCUCAAUAUCAAAAAAGAAGACAAUAAAGAAUGGGGUUUGGUUUGGUUGAAUGAUUAGAAAGUUGGGGGGGUAAUUUCCUAAUGGCUACCGGACAAAAGGUUCUCCAAUGGGGGACCAGAAUUUUCUCUCUCUCCUGUUUAACGGUCGAAAAGUUGAAACUUCUGUGGUUUCCCUCAUCAGUGGAGAACACAGGUUUCCUUCCAAGUGUUCUGGCCCAGUUGACAUCUCUUUGGGCCUUAAAUAUAUAUAUGGAGAGGCCUGAUUCGUUAAAACAACGCCCUUUAGGUUUUUCUUAAUCCAAUUCUGGCCCAAAAUUACUAACUUUAUUUCUAUGGAUUUCUUGGGUCCAA